RNAcentral lists this ribosomal RNA (291 nucleotides) under uncultured bacterium. Its description in RNAcentral is "partial 16S ribosomal RNA". It matches the Rfam family "Bacterial small subunit ribosomal RNA", at positions 773 to 1060 of the family's 1533-position model. The record is from RNAcentral.
GUGGAUUAUAUACCCGGGUAGUCCACGCCCUAAACGAUGUCAACUAGUUGUUCGGUGAGGAGACUCAUUGAGUAACGCAGCUAACGCGUGAAGUUGACCGCCUGGGGAGUACGGCCGCAAGGUUAAAACUCAAAGGAAUUGACGGGGACCCGCACAAGCGGUGGAUGAUGUGGAUUAAUUCGAUGCAACGCGAAAAACCUUACCUACCCUUGACAUGCCAGGAACUUACCAGAGAUGGUUUGGUGCUCGAAAGAGAGCCUGGACACAGGUGCUGCACGGUUGUAGUCAGCU